UGCCUUAUAGUGGGGGAGUAGCCUUUCGAAAGGAAGAUUAAUACCGCAUAAGAUUGUAGUAUCGCAUGAUAUAGCAAUUAAAGGAACAAUUCGCUAUAAGAUGGACCCGCGUCGCAUUAGCUAGUUGGUGAGGUAAUGGCUCACCAAGGCGACGAUGCGUAGCCGACCUGAGAGGAUGACCAGCCACACUGGAACUGAGACACGGUCCAGACUCCUACGGGAGGCAGCAUG
RNAcentral lists this ribosomal RNA (231 nucleotides) under uncultured bacterium. Its description in RNAcentral is "partial 16S ribosomal RNA". It matches the Rfam family "Bacterial small subunit ribosomal RNA", at positions 127 to 353 of the family's 1533-position model. The record is from RNAcentral.